UACAGAGGGUGCGAGCGUUAAUCAGAAUUACUGGGCGUAAAGGGCGCGUAGGCGGUUAUAUAAGUUAGAUGUGAAAUCCCUGGGCUUAACCUAGGAACUGCAUAUAAGACUGUAUAACUGGAGUGCAGUAGAGGGUAGUGGAAUUUCCGGUGUAGCGGUGAAAUGCGUAGAUAUCGGAAGGAACACCAGUGGCGAAGGCGGCUACCUGGACUGACACUGACGCUGAGGCGCGAGAGCGUGGGGAGCAAAC
Molecule: ribosomal RNA, 250 nt
Filed under: uncultured bacterium
Lineage: Bacteria
Description: partial 16S ribosomal RNA
Rfam family: Bacterial small subunit ribosomal RNA
Source: RNAcentral